This 274-nucleotide ribosomal RNA is filed under the name uncultured bacterium. RNAcentral describes it as "partial 16S ribosomal RNA". It matches the Rfam family "Bacterial small subunit ribosomal RNA", at positions 523 to 796 of the family's 1533-position model. The record is from RNAcentral.
AUACGGAGGGUGCAAGCGUUACUCGGAAUCACUGGGCGUAAAGCGCGCGCAAGCGGUCUUUUAAGUUGGAUGUGAAAGCCUACGGCUCAACCGUAGAACUGCAUCCAAAACUAUUAGACUAGAGUGUGGGAGAGGAAGAUGGAAUUAGUUGUGUAGGGGUAAAAUCCGUAGAGAUAACUAGGAAUACCAAAAGCGAAGGCAAUCUUCUGGAACACUACUGACGCUGAGGCGCGAAAGCGUGGGGAGCAAACAGGAUUAGAAACCCCAGUAGUCC